UAUGAUAGAUGGCUCAUUUCAUUUAAUUGAUUACUAUAAUUUGUAUAGUUAAAAAUGUUUAUAGUUUUAAAUUGGAGAUUGUUAUAAAUGAAAUUUACCUUUGAGAAGCUUCUCCAGGACCGUAACUACAUUGAGAGCCUCAUUUUAGAAAUUUCAGAAAAAAAAACUCAAACAAAAGAUUGUCUUUAUAUCAAAAUUUUGUCACGGAAAGUGUCAUGCAAGAUGCAAGUUCUCUUCACUUUCUGAUGUAGCCCAUGCAUGUUUUUCGUGAUCCAUGUUUCUAUUUUACUUUUAUUUUUCAGAGUUGAUGGUCUAUUGUUUGUACAUCUGUGUCCCUGGUUGGUCUUUUGUUCAUUGAUUGUUUUAUGCUUUUAAAGACUAUUGUCUUAGUGUUGGUUUUCAUUUGUAAACGUCAAGUUUUGCAAUAUUGCAUGUCCACCAAUGUCCAGACAUUGUGCUGGGAAAUAUUUUCAAAAGACUGGACACAGAAAAAAAUGGUCGUUUCAAAACUUGAUUUCAAAGAAUAAAAAGCUGACGUUUUGUCGAUAAAACUAAGAUAUAUAUGUAGCUGACAUGAUUUAAAUUUAAGUAAGGUCACCUAUUUCCUGGUAUCAAAUAAUUUGAAAAAAAAGAACAAUGUAUUGCCAUAUGACCUUUUACAUUGAAGGGUUAAAUUUGCAUUAAGUCAUGUUCAGACCCUUUAACAGAAAAUAAAGGAAUAUGGAGUAAAGACGUGCACGGGGCCUGAUCACACUCAAAGUCAAUGCAUAGAAAAAAUACAAAUUAUCAAUCCAAGUGGUCAAAGUUUUUAUUUCUGUUCUUCAUUUUGAUAGUUGCUGGAGGGUCUUCAACAAUAAAGAAUCAUUAAAGGUCAAGAUGGUCCCUAGUGUCGACUUAAGCAGUACAAGUACUUAAAGUAUAAUACUGCACUGUCACUAUAUUUUAAUCUAGCCAUAAAAA
This 960-nucleotide long non-coding RNA is filed under the name Mytilus galloprovincialis (Mediterranean mussel). Lineage: Eukaryota; Metazoa; Mollusca; Bivalvia; Mytilida; Mytilidae. The record is from RNAcentral.